CCUACGGGAGGCAGCAGUGGGGAAUUUUGGACAAUGGGGGCAACCCUGAUCCAGCCAUGCCGCGUGAGUGAAGAAGGCCUUCGGGUUGUAAAGCUCUUUCGGCCGGGACGAAAUCGCACCAUCUAAUAAGUGGCGUGGAUGACGGUACCGGAAUAAGAAGCACCGGCUAACUACGUGCCAGCAGCCGCGGUAAUACGUAGGGUGCGAGCGUUAAUCGGAAUUACUGGGCGUAAAGCGUGCGCAGGCGGUUUUGUAAGCCAGAUGUGAAAUCCCCGGGCUUAACCUGGGAACUGCAUUUGGGACUGCAAGGCUAGAGUGUGUCAGAGGGGGGUAGAAUUCCACGUGUAGCAGUGAAAUGCGUAGAGAUGUGGAGGAAUACCGAUGGCGAAGGCAGCCCCCUGGGAUAACACUGACGCUCAUGCACGAAAGCGUGGGGAGCAAACAGGAUUAGAUACCCUGGUAGUCCACGCCCUAAACGAUGUCAACUAGUUGUCGGAGGAGAGAUUCUUUGGUAACGCAGCUAACGCGUGAAGUUGACCGCCUGGGGAGUACGGCCGCAAGGUUAAAACUCAAAGGAAUUGACGGA
This 586-nucleotide ribosomal RNA is filed under the name uncultured bacterium. Its description in RNAcentral is "bacterial SSU rRNA". It matches the Rfam family "Bacterial small subunit ribosomal RNA", at positions 338 to 917 of the family's 1533-position model. The record is from RNAcentral.